This 253-nucleotide ribosomal RNA is filed under the name uncultured bacterium. Its description in RNAcentral is "partial 16S ribosomal RNA". It matches the Rfam family "Bacterial small subunit ribosomal RNA", at positions 524 to 776 of the family's 1533-position model. The record is from RNAcentral.
UACAGAGGUCUCAAGCGUUGUUCGGAUUCAUUGGGCGUAAAGGGUGCGUAGGUGGCGCGCUAAGUCAGGUGUGAAAUUUCGGAGCUUAACUCCGAAACUGCAUUUGAUACUGGCGUGCUUGAGGACUGGAGAGGAGACUGGAAUUCAUGGUGUAGCAGUGAAAUGCGUAGAUAUACGGAGGAACACCUGCGGCGAAGGCGGGUAGCUGGGCCAACACUGACGCUGAUGCGCGAAAGCUAGGGGAGCAAACGGG